UGAGGAAUAUUGGUCAAUGGGCGAGAGCCUGAACCAGCCAAGUAGCGUGCAGGAUGACGGCCCUAUGGGUUGUAAACUGCUUUUGUAUGGGGAUAAAGUCAGUCACGUGUGAUUGUUUGCAGGUACCAUACGAAUAAGGACCGGCUAAUUCCGUGCCAGCAGCCGCGGUAAUACGGAAGGUCCGGGCGUUAUCCGGAUUUAUUGGGUUUAAAGGGAGCGUAGGCUGGAGAUUAAGUGUGUUGUGAAAUGUAGACGCUCAACGUCUGACUUGCAGCGCAUACUGGUUUCCUUGAGUACGCACAACAUUGGCGGAAUUCGUCGUGUAGCGGUGAAAUGCUUAGAUAUGACGAAGAACUCCGAUUGCGAAGGCAGCUGACGGGAGCGUAACUGACGCUGAAGCUCGAAGGUGCGGGUAUCGAACAGGAUUAGAUACCCUGGUAGUCCGCACAGUAAACGAUGGAUGCCCGCUGUUGGUACGUGGUAUCAGCGGCUAAGCGAAAGCAUUAAGCAUCCCACCUGGGGAGUACGCCGGCAACGGUG
Molecule: ribosomal RNA, 540 nt
Filed under: uncultured bacterium
Lineage: Bacteria
Description: bacterial SSU rRNA
Rfam family: Bacterial small subunit ribosomal RNA
Source: RNAcentral